This 2973-nucleotide long non-coding RNA is filed under the name Medicago truncatula (barrel medic). RNAcentral's name for it is "long non-coding RNA (MTRU_LNC001140)". The record is from RNAcentral. Lineage: Eukaryota; Viridiplantae; Streptophyta; Magnoliopsida; Fabales; Fabaceae.
GCCUCCUAUUAAAAAAAAAUGGCAAAAGUCCCCCCUCAUGUUUAGCUUCUUUUGCAAAAUCAAUUUUGACUUGGUCAAACCUAUGUGUCAUGCCACUUAACUUAAAAAAUUGUCAGCUGUGUAUUUUUUUAAUUAAAAAAAUGGAAAAGGCCACAUGUGUAUUUACAUAAUUAAAAAAAUGAAAAAUGAAAGUAUUAAUCGAAGAGAUUAUGCGACAUUCAUCUUCUUCACCUAAUUCCUUCAUCUUUUUCAUCCAUUUCUUUUUAAAAAAUGCAGAAUAUUACAUCACCACACCACCUCAACCUUCAUCUCCGAUCUUGUUCACCACCACCACCACCACCGCUAUUCUCCUAUCACCACCACAAGAUCGUCUCUAAUCUAUGUCUACAGCACCACCACCACCAUAUCAACCUUCUCAGAUUCAUCUCUACCCACCAACACCACUCUCAUCACCGUCCUCUCCACCACCGUAUCUCUCUACAUCCACUGCUGCUUGAGAGAGAUGAGUCUCAGUUCCGACAACCAUUGGUCACAACCACCAUUGUAACACUCCUAUUUCUAUUUAAACAAUUAAACAUGUGAAUAAUACAUUUAUUCAAGAAAUAGAGGCUACGCCACAUUCAAAAUUCAAAAACCAAUAAACAUGUAUAUAAACCUCAACAGUUGCAGCAGAAUAUAAACCAGAGUAAUCCAAAUAUGUACAUGUCAUGAAGCAAUAAAUUACAUCACAUAGAUGCAUCUCAAAAAUCCCAAACAAACGGGUAAUCUCCAACAAAACAAAAUCCAAAAAUAACCUAAUCUAGACCGACACAACAAGCCUAGAUCAGAGCCGACUCAAAACCGAUAUCGGAGAAAGCUCCCGAUAUCGCCAAGCACAACUCCUGCACAACGUCUACCCAUCCAUACAGACAGGUAGGCGGUUAAAACCAUUGGGGGUAAAUAUUACAUUAUCAUAAUCCAAAUAGCAGUUAUCAUGAAUAUUUCAAUUAACAUCAUGCAUUUGAUCAAUAAUAACCACACAUUAAUACUUACAUCACACCCCCAUAUCUCACAUCAAUAAUCAUCAAUCUCAUGAACAAUUAUCAAUUCACAAAUAUUCAUUCAUAAUUGCCAAUCACAAUUAUCAUGAAUAGUCAUUAAUCACAUUUCAUGAACAAUCACCAAUCACAUAUAUCAAUAAGACUCAUGUCAUAAUAUGCACUUAUUGACACAUAAAUGCAUGUGGUGUAUAUAUCAAAAGUUCAUUUUGGUCCUUCACAUGAACACUUAACUCAACUUCACCAAAUCAAACCACCACUUCACAAAAUGGAAUACCUAUGAUAUCAUUCAACAACAACAACAUAUCUAAUUCAACAACACUUCAUUUAGACAUGAAUUCAACCAUAAUUCAACAGCACAAUAUCCCAAUCCAACAAUUGAGCAAAAUUCAUAAGUACCCAUUUUCACCAAACCAACAACAACAAUUUAUUUCUCAACAACAAAUUAUGAAUCAUGCAUACCCAAGCCAUGAAUUAUCAUCAACCAUAUGACUAAACAACAACAACAACCAUUAAUCAUGAAACAUAUCACAAUUCAUCAACAAUCAUGCAUAAUUCACCAAUUGAGCAUAAUUUACAAACUACCCAUUUUCAUACAUCAUGAACUUGCAAUUUCAUCAUCAACAAUUCAUUAAUCAUCAAAUUAACAUAUUCAAACAUAUCUCUACAACAUAAGCACGAAUUUCAAAGAUUGGGUUCAUGAUAAUCACUUAUUCCCAUAAUCAAUUAUGCAUAGAACAAGAGAAAAAGAAUUAACUAAAUGAUUAUGAUAAAAACUAACCCCCCUUACCUUAAUUAUCUCCAACUAUUAGCUCUAGCUUCAUUUUUCUCCUAUGAUUCUUCAAACCCUUGAAUUCUUCAAGUUCCUCUUCUCUCUCUAACCAUUGUUCUUCUCUUCUCCCACUUUCUCUCUCUACCUCUCUCUAGAAAAUAUCUUAUGAAAUGAAUGAAGUGAUAUUCUCCUAAGACAACUCAUUAGGUAUAACCCUUAGUGGGCUUAACCCAUUUCUAUUCAAACAAAAAAAUAUUUCUACACUCCAAACGAUAUUUAAGUACUAACGGUAAAAUGUCACUAACGGUCACUAAACGGUAAAAUCUCAAUUUACUAUAGUAACUUAAUGAAAUAACUAUUCUCACUAAUCACUAAAAGUAAUUCUCACCCAAAAUUAUAAUUUUACCGUUCUCACAAAAUGACCAAAAUACCCCUAAGUCUAAAAUGACUAAAAUACCCUUAUAACACGGAAACCCAUGAAAAUGCACCCAAUGAUGAAUAAUCACACACAAACACAUAAAACACAUAAUAAAAGUAAUUAAAAUAAAUCUAGCUAAAAAUCGGGCUGUUACAACCACCACAUGUGAUACUCUCAAAUCUGACAACCACCAUCACUUACGACCUCCUACAACAACCAUCCUUUCCACCAUGUUUCGCCACAACUAGAUCAGGGAGAGAGAGAAAAGUCAGGAACGAGAAAGAGAAAAGAGUAAGAAUGCCAGUGUUGUUGUUGUUUAGUUGGACAAUUGAACCGGAUAAGAGGAGGAAAAUGAUAGAUGGAUUAAGUCUUUGGGAGAUGUAUUUGAUAGGGAUUGAAUACAAAUUUUGUUUCCUAAAAAACGUGAUGUUGUUGUUGGUGGUUUUCAUCUUGUUGAUGGGAACUUGAAUUCAUUGUUGCAAUAGAUGAGAUUGGGAAGGAAAAUAUAUGACAAAAAAAGAAGAAAAAGUUGCUUAUGGUUUCUCGCUGUUGAAGAAGGAAAAAGGGCAAAUGUUAUAGAAUUUCCUAAUAAUUGAAAAAGAAAUGUUAUGAAAAUUUUGAGAAGGAUACCAUGAACAUAUUUUUUGAAUGAAGAUGAAUGAUAAUGUAGUUGCUGCUAUUGUCGUGCUUGGUUCUCCCUCUUCCUUUUUUUAUUUUUUUUUAUUUUUAAUUUUUAUAUAUAUAUG